This 465-nucleotide ribosomal RNA is filed under the name uncultured Staphylococcus sp. RNAcentral's name for it is "bacterial SSU rRNA". It matches the Rfam family "Bacterial small subunit ribosomal RNA", at positions 37 to 484 of the family's 1533-position model. Lineage: Bacteria; Bacillati; Bacillota; Bacilli; Caryophanales; Staphylococcaceae. The record is from RNAcentral.
UGGCGGCGUGCCUAAUACAUGCAAGUCGAGCGAACAGACGAGGAGCUUGCUCCUCUGACGUUAGCGGCGGACGGGUGAGUAACACGUGGAUAACCUACCUAUAAGACUGGGAUAACUUCGGGAAACCGGAGCUAAUACCGGAUAANAUNUUGAACCGCAUGGUUCAANAGUGAAAGACGGUCUUGCUGUCACUUAUAGAUGGAUCCGCGCCGCAUUAGCUAGUUGGUAAGGUAACGGCUUACCAAGGCAACGAUGCGUAGCCGACCUGAGAGGGUGAUCGGCCACACUGGAACUGAGACACGGUCCAGACUCCUACGGGAGGCAGCAGUAGGGAAUCUUCCGCAAUGGGCGAAAGCCUGACGGAGCAACGCCGCGUGAGUGAUGAAGGUCUUCGGAUCGUAAAACUCUGUUAUUAGGGAAGAACAAAUGUGUAAGUAACUNUGCACNUCUUGACGGUACCUAAUC